UACGUAGGUGGCAAGCGUUGUCCGGAAUUAUUGGGCGAAAAGCGCGCGCAGGCGGCCCCUUAAGGCUGAUGUGAAAGCCCCCGGCUCAACCGGGGAGGGCCAUUGGAAACUGGGAGGCUUGAGUAUAGGAGAGGAAAGUGGAAUUCCACGUGUAGCGGUGAAAUGCGUAGAUAUGUGGAGGAACACCAGUGGUGAAGGCGACUCUUCGGCCUAUCACUGACGCUGAGGCGCGAAAGCGUGGGGAGCAAACAGG
This 253-nucleotide unclassified non-coding RNA is filed under the name uncultured Caryophanales bacterium. Its description in RNAcentral is "uncultured Bacillales bacterium contains 16S-23S intergenic spacer region". It matches the Rfam family "Bacterial small subunit ribosomal RNA", at positions 524 to 776 of the family's 1533-position model. The record is from RNAcentral. Lineage: Bacteria; Bacillati; Bacillota; Bacilli; Caryophanales.